This is a long non-coding RNA of Caenorhabditis elegans, 1499 nucleotides long. Ensembl annotates it as ncRNA. Its record names the gene linc-149. The record is from Ensembl. Lineage: Eukaryota; Metazoa; Nematoda; Chromadorea; Rhabditida; Rhabditidae.
AGUGGAAAUGUAAACGAAGAAGAAGAAGAAGCAUCAUCGUCAGGACCAUCGACUCCUGCUAUUUUUGUAUUUGAUCAUUUUUCAACUGGAGUUGAAAUGAUGUAAGUUUGAUAUGCAAAUAUAUUUUGCCUAUUUUCUGCAAUACACGGCAUUUGGGAACAUUGUAAAAACAAACAUUGUUUUUCUGAGUGGUUCUCGAACUUUCCAGUACUGAACAAGUUAGGAUUUAUCAUAAAACGUUAGCACCUAGUGUCAUAUUUCUGCAAACGGACGAUAUAUAUUCAAUUAGGAGAGUGAUUGGCUACUUUAAUAAAAACAAAUAAACCCUAGAAACCAUCUAAGCUAUAAACUACUUUGCAAUUUGAUAUAUAUUUUUGAACUCAUUUGUUGUGCGAAAAACUUCAAUUUUAUCCACUCCUUUUAGUAAGUAAGUGGUCCACUGAAUGAGUGUACUGUGAGACUAGAAAACAUCUUCCUACCUUUAUUGUUAUUGUUAUAAAUAUAAUUCAACUUUAUUGUUAUAAAUAUAAUUCAACAAACGCUGAUACCAAAAAUUUGAUACCAAAAUUUUAAAUUUUAAAUUGUUUCAUCACCGGAACGAAUAUUUUACUCCCAACUUUUUUGUGUCGAUUUUUGUAUCUAUGCUACAUCUGAAAAUCAGAAUUGAGAUUGUUAAAAAAAAGUUAUUAUGUCAUUUGUAUCAUUUGGCAAGGUUGACUUGAUACUUCAUAUCACAUCAGAAAUUUUGAAUUUUGACCUUUGGGAAACGUUAUUUGUCCCAAACAGUUUUAAGAAUGGACGAUAAUUAGAAUAAAUUGAAUCAAAUUAGCUACUACUGAAACAGCGUAUUUUUCUCUAAAAACAAGGAAACCUGAAGAACUUUGAACAUGUCGACCCACAUCACCGGAACGAAUCUUUUACUCCCAACUUUUUUUUUGUGUCAAUUUUUGGUCAAAAUGGGAAGAUUCGUAUUUUAAAAUUCUGAUGCUACCACGAGUUUGGAGAUUUGCGUGCAGAUUUUUACUCAAAGAGGAAGAAAGUAAUAAUAACCAACUUCCUAUCUCCCUUGUACUCAAAGUGUUUGGUUCUGCAACAUUACUCAUGUUUGCUCUUUCCAAUUUUUUGCUGUGCUUUUUUUGAAAUAUGACAGGCCAAAUCUAUAUUUUUAAAAGAAUAUAUGUUUGCUCAUAUAGUAAAAGAGUGAGUUUUCAUAAAAAUUCCAACGUUUAUUUCAUAGAACUCAAUUUUGACUGAAUGUAUGCCGAGGCAAAGCCGGUGGAGAAAAUGUUUAACGAGUACGUCUACACUAUUUUGUAAUUAUUUUAUUUACAGUAAAAAAGUAGCAAUUACUCAGAAUUAUAAUUUUGGAAGCCGACCAAAACCGUUUUCUACGUGAUUAUGAAUCGCAUUCAAACGCUUCAAAGAUUCGAACCUGCCGCAAUGCUUUCAAUUUCUCAAAUUUUUAUUGCAAUUUUUUGAAAUAAAAAAAAUUUUAGCAG